RNAcentral lists this ribosomal RNA (746 nucleotides) under uncultured Microgenomates group bacterium. RNAcentral describes it as "bacterial SSU rRNA". It matches the Rfam family "Bacterial small subunit ribosomal RNA", at positions 752 to 1500 of the family's 1533-position model. The record is from RNAcentral.
CACGAAAGCUAGGGGAGCGAAGCAAGAUUAGAGACCUGCGUAGUCCUAGCCGUAAACGCAUGUCUGCUAGCUGUGCUUUUCUCCCUCCGAAUAGGCGGGGAUUAGGCAUGGCGAAGGUAACCCGUUAAGCAGACCGCCUGGGGAGUACGGGCCGCAAGGCUAAAACUCAAAGGAAUUGGCGGGGAGGCACACAACCAGUGGAACAUGUGGUUCAAUUCGAGACGAACGAAGCACCUCACCAGGGUUUGACAUGCUAUCGUGUACCCGGAAGGAAACUUUUGGGGAUCCGCAAGGAUGGUAGCACAAGGUGCUGCAUGGCUGUCGUCAGCUCGUUCCGUGAGGAGUGCCCUUAAGUGGGACAACGAGCGCAACCCCUAUCCUGUGUUAGAAAUGUCACAGGAGACAGCCCCGACUUAGUCGGGAAGGAAGGAGGGGUAGACGUCAAGUCAGCAUGGUCCUUAUGCCCUGGGCGACACACAUGUUACAAUGGGAAGAACAAUGGGCUUUGCCACACUGUAAGGUGGAGCUAAUCCCUAAAUCUUCCCUCAGUGGGGAUUGAGGUCUGCAACUCGACCUCAUGAACGCGGAAUUGGUAGUAAUCGCGGAUCAGCCAUGCCGCGGUGAAUACGUUCUUGCCUCUUGCACACACCGCCCGUCAAGCCAACAAAGUCGAAGAUGAUUGAACUCCGACUUAACGUCGGAGGAGAUCAUCGUCGGCGAUGGGGGUUAAGUCGUAACAAGGUAAC